ACUUUUGGGAGACGUGGGUGCUUCAUUGAAGGGUGAUACUGGGCCGAGAGGUCCUCCAGGAAUCCCUGGUAGGGAGGGACCAAAGGGAAGCAAAGGUGAACGUGGAUUUCCUGGACUUUCUGGAGAGAAAGGUGAUGAGGUAAAAUUAUUUUAAUUUCAAUAAUCAUUAUAUUACAAUUAUUCUUAUGUGUACAUGAAUAAAGGUCCAAAUUGAGAAUUAAAUACA
This 226-nucleotide long non-coding RNA is filed under the name Chrysemys picta bellii (western painted turtle). RNAcentral's name for it is "lncRNA (ENSCPBG00000024020.1)". The record is from RNAcentral. Lineage: Eukaryota; Metazoa; Chordata; Testudines; Emydidae.